This 961-nucleotide ribosomal RNA is filed under the name Microporus sp. (in: basidiomycete fungi). RNAcentral describes it as "Microporus sp. (in: Fungi) partial large subunit ribosomal RNA". It matches the Rfam family "Eukaryotic large subunit ribosomal RNA", at positions 35 to 1379 of the family's 3401-position model. Lineage: Eukaryota; Fungi; Basidiomycota; Agaricomycetes; Polyporales; Polyporaceae. The record is from RNAcentral.
AUAGCAUAUCAAUAAGCGGAGGAAAAGAAACUAACAAGGAUUCCCCUAGUAACUGCGAGUGAAGCGGGAAAAGCUCAAAUUUAAAAUCUGGCGGUCUUUGGCCGUCCGAGUUGUAGUCUGGAGAAGUGCUUUCCGCGCUGGACCGUGUAUAAGUCUCUUGGAACAGAGCGUCAUAGAGGGUGAGAAUCCCGUCUUUGACACGGACUACCAGUGCUUUGUGAUGCGCUCUCAAAGAGUCGAGUUGUUUGGGAAUGCAGCUCAAAAUGGGUGGUAAAUUCCAUCUAAAGCUAAAUAUUGGCGAGAGACCGAUAGCGAACAAGUACCGUGAGGGAAAGAUGAAAAGCACUUUGGAAAGAGAGUUAAACAGUACGUGAAAUUGCUGAAAGGGAAACGCUUGAAGUCAGUCGCGUCUGCCGGAACUCAGCCUUGCUUUUGCUUGGUGCACUUUCCGGUUGACGGGCCAGCAUCGAUUUUGACCGUCGGAAAAGGGCUAGGGAAAUGUGGCACCUUCGGGUGUGUUAUAGUCUCUAGUCGCAUACGGCGGUUGGGAUCGAGGACCGCAGCGCGCCGCAAGGCAGGGGUUCGCCCACUUUCGCGCUUAGGAUGCUGGCAUAAUGGCUUUAAACGACCCGUCUUGAAACACGGACCAAGGAGUCUAACAAACCUGCGAGUGUUUGGGUGGUAAACCCGAGCGCGUAAUGAAAGUGAAAGUUGAGACCUCUGUCGUGGAGGGCAUCGACGCCCGGACCUGACGUUCUCUGAAGGAUCCGCGGUAGAGCAUGUUUGUUGGGACCCGAAAGAUGGUGAACUAUGCCUGAAUAGGGUGAAGCCAGAGGAAACUCUGGUGGAGGCUCGUAGCGAUUCUGACGUGCAAAUCGAUCGUCAAAUUUGGGUAUAGGGGCGAAAGACUAAUCGAACCAUCUAGUAGCUGGUUCCUGCGAGCCCUCCUCCUCCCGGUUUA